Molecule: ribosomal RNA, 105 nt
Filed under: Ricinus communis (castor bean)
Lineage: Eukaryota; Viridiplantae; Streptophyta; Magnoliopsida; Malpighiales; Euphorbiaceae
Source: RNAcentral
CGGUGUGAUCAUACCAGCACUAAUGCACCGGAUCCCAUUAAACAUGCUUGGACGAGAGUAGUACUAAGAUCGGUGACCUCUUGGGAAGUCCUCAUGUUGCACCCC